GACGAACGCUGGCGGCGUGCUUAACACAUGCAAGUCGAACGGAAAGGCCUUGCUUUUGUGGGGUGCUCGAGUGGCGAACGGGUGAGUAACACGUGAGUAACCUGCCCUUGACUUUGGGAUAACUUCAGGAAACUGGGGCUAAUACCGGAUAGGAGCUCCUGCUGCAUGGUGGGGGUUGGAACGUUUCGGCGGUUGGGGAUGGACUCGCGGCUUAUCAGCUUGUUGGUGGGGUAGUGGCUUACCAAGGCUUUGACGGGUAGCCGGCCUGAGAGGGUGACCGGCCACAUUGGGACUGAGAUACGGCCCAGACUCCUACGGGAGGCAGCAGUGGGGAAUAUUGCACAAUGGGCGGAAGCCUGAUGCAGCAACGCCGCGUGCGGGAUGACGGCCUUCGGGUUGUAAACCGCUUUCGCCUGUGACGAAGCGUGAGUGACGGUAAUGGGUAAAGAAGCACCGGCUAACUACGUG
RNAcentral lists this ribosomal RNA (468 nucleotides) under uncultured bacterium. Its description in RNAcentral is "partial 16S ribosomal RNA". It matches the Rfam family "Bacterial small subunit ribosomal RNA", at positions 28 to 507 of the family's 1533-position model. The record is from RNAcentral.